RNAcentral lists this transfer RNA (71 nucleotides) under Marmota monax (woodchuck). Its description in RNAcentral is "tRNA.Ala". Lineage: Eukaryota; Metazoa; Chordata; Mammalia; Rodentia; Sciuridae. The record is from RNAcentral.
GGGGUUGUGGCUCAGGGGUAGAAUGCUCACUUGGCAUGAGCGAGGCCCUGGGUUCGAUCCUCAGCACCACA